AGCCAGGAAGGAGGAGGCAGCCAGAGUGUUCUCUGCAGCAGAAGACCCCUUGCUGCCCUGCUUAACCCAGACCAGCAUUUGCCAGGAAAAGAUUAUUUCAGCUCCUUUUUACAUCUGGGCCUAGUCUGUGAUCUGAGAACACCUGAGGAGCAGCACUGCUGAAGCUAAACUGGGAUCAUUUGCACAACAGGACAAGCACAGAACUUCAGAUCUCCAGGAAUCGGCAUCAAUCUCCAAGUGACGACUGAAAGUUUUAAUGACUUGAUCUUGUGAAAUAUAUUGGAAACAAUAUUGGGUGGGGGGUGAUCUCUAGGAAUAGCUUCAGUUAGAGUUAAGUCAUUUUCCUGAUGUAAAUUGACACCUAAAGCUGCCAUUUGCCUCAGUAUAUGGCAUGAUAUAUGUGCAUUUUGCCCUACUGCGCAAAUAGGAGAUUUAGGGGAGUGAUUUCCAUGGAGCCAUCAUAGGAACAUAUAAAGCUGCCUUCUACCGAGUCAGACCAUUGGUCCAUCUAGCUUAGUAUUGUCUAGUCCAGGGAUCCUCAACGUUGGGCCCCCAGAUGUUAGUGGACUUCAACUCCCAUAAUCCCAAGCCCCAGUGGACUUUGGUUGGGA
Molecule: long non-coding RNA, 611 nt
Organism: Hemicordylus capensis (graceful crag lizard)
Lineage: Eukaryota; Metazoa; Chordata; Lepidosauria; Squamata; Cordylidae
Exons: 3
Source: RefSeq, a predicted model, not a curated record